CUCUCCACGGAAAUCUAUGUACCAAA
RNAcentral lists this non-coding RNA (26 nucleotides) under Mus musculus (house mouse). The record is from RNAcentral. Lineage: Eukaryota; Metazoa; Chordata; Mammalia; Rodentia; Muridae.